Molecule: ribosomal RNA, 492 nt
Filed under: uncultured bacterium
Lineage: Bacteria
Description: partial 16S ribosomal RNA
Rfam family: Bacterial small subunit ribosomal RNA
Source: RNAcentral
AUUGAACGCUGGCGGCAUGCUUUACACAUGCAAGUCGAACGGUAACAGGCCUUCGGGUGCUGACGAGUGGCGAACGGGUGAGUAAUGCAUCGGAACGUGCCCAGAGGUGGGGGAUAACGCAGCGAAAGCUGUGCUAAUACCGCAUGUGAUCUGAGGAUGAAAGCGGGGGACCAAGCAGCAAUGUUUGGCCUCGCGCCUCUGGAGCGGCCGAUGUCAGAUUAGGUAGUUGGUGGGGUAAAGGCCUACCAAGCCGACGAUCUGUAGCUGGUCUGAGAGGACGACCAGCCACACUGGGACUGAGACACGGCCCAGACUCCUACGGGAGGCAGCAGUGGGGAAUUUUGGACAAUGGGCGCAAGCCUGAUCCAGCAAUGCCGCGUGCGGGAAGAAGGCCUUCGGGUUGUAAACCGCUUUUGUACGGAACGAGAAGGCUCUGGCUAAUACCUGGGGCUGAUGACGGUACCGUAAGAAUAAGCACCGGCUAACUACGUG